UGCCUGCCCAGUGAUUGAAAAAUUAAACGGCUGCGGUACUCUGACCGUGCAAAGGUAGCAUAAUCAUUAGCCUAUUAAUUUUAGGCUAGAAUGAAUGGCAAGACGAAGGAAAAGCUGUCUCUUUCUAUUAAUUUUUAACUUUUCUUUUUGGUGAAGAGACCAAAAUAUAAAAGUGGGACGAGAAGACCCUAUUGAGUUUUAGUUAUUGAUUAGGAAAAAAUUUUUUUUAAUAACUUUGGUUGGGGCAACUGUUUAUAAAAUUAAACAUAAAAAAAAUAAAAAUUGAUUUAAAUCUUUAAUAUAUGUAAGACCUAGAAUUUUUCUAGAAUUAAAAAUAAUUACCAUAGGGAUAACAGCGUAAUUUCUUUUGAGAGUACAUAUUGACAAAGGAGUUUGCGACCUCGAUGUUGGAUCAAGUUUUCCUGGAGGUGUAGCAGUUUCCAAGGGUUGGUUUGUUCAACCAUAAAAAUCUU
Molecule: ribosomal RNA, 473 nt
Filed under: Astrohamma tuberculatum
Lineage: Eukaryota; Metazoa; Echinodermata; Ophiuroidea; Euryalida; Gorgonocephalidae
Description: partial 16S ribosomal RNA
Rfam family: Bacterial large subunit ribosomal RNA
Source: RNAcentral